RNA transcript from Oryzias latipes (Japanese medaka), 3344 nucleotides. It is a transcript of the gene named metal transporter CNNM1, with no coding region annotated. Lineage: Eukaryota; Metazoa; Chordata; Actinopteri; Beloniformes; Adrianichthyidae. The record is from RefSeq and is a predicted model, not a curated record.
CCACCCCUGCCCCACCCACCCGGAUCCGCACACUCUCACUCAUCCCGAUGCACCCGCCGUCGCCCACAUGGACCGGAACCAGGCAGCGUCACGUGACACGGGUUCCCCGGAGUGAGAGAGAGCCUCUCACAGCGCAUCAUGGCUGCGGAGGAUGCAGCCGCUCGGUACCGGCCCGGCGCGUUUCGCAUCGGCGCUGCGCCCCCCGCGCGCCGCCUGCUGCUGCUCUGCGUCUGCGCCUGCUGGCUGCUUCCCGCCCCGGCACUCUGCCUGCUCGGCUUUCGGCCGGAGGAGACCGGGGCGGAGCUGUCCGUGGAGGACGGGGUGCUGAAAGCCACCGAGGGGAGCCGCUUCAUGCUGCGGGUGUACUACUCCACCUCCCCGCAGAGGCUCAACCGCAGCGCGGGGUCCCGCGCCAACAACGCCGCGCCCUGGAUCGCCUUCAUCGAGGAGCCGAGUCCCGGGAGGGAGGGACAGGUCCACCCCAAGCGGAACAUGUGCACGGACAAGAACGCCAGGACGUCCGACAUCGAGGUUCUGGGUUCCUUCAAGUCCUCUUCCAGCCAGAACUCGGUUCUGGUCGAGCUGAUGGCCAAAGAGCUGCGGAGGGGGGAGAAGGUCAAGUUCUACUCCAUGUGCGCCUUCGACGGAUCCAAGUGGGAACACUACCGGACCCGGGACUUCUGGGUGGCGGUAUCGGAGCGCUCCGCCGUCCCGGAGCUCUGGCUGCAGGUUGUGGUCUCGGUUCUUCUGCUCGGACUGUCGGCUCUGUUCAGCGGGCUCAACCUAAGCCUCCUGGCUCUGGACCCGGUGGAGCUGCAGGUCCUCCAGAACAGCGGCACCGACACGGAGCAGAACCAUGCGCGCAAGAUCGAGUCCGUGCGUCGGCACGGGAACUACGUCCUGUGCACGCUGCUGCUGGGCACCGCCAUCAUCAACGCCUCGCUGGCCGUGUGGAUGUGUCAGAUCCUCGGCAUGACGUGGAUCUCCACGCUCAUCUGCGCCUCCGGCAUCUUCUUCAUCGGUGAGAUCCUUCCGCACUCCGUGGCCUCGCGCCACGGUUUGGCCAUCGCGUCCAAAACCAUCUGGGUGACGCGGCUGCUGAUGGUGCUCUCCUUCCCCAUCUCCUACCCCAUCAGCAAACUUCUGGACCUCAUCCUCAACCAGGAGAUCUCCAACUUUUACACCAGAGAGAAGCUCCUGGAGAUGCUGCGCGUCUCGGACCCGUACCACGACCUGGUCAAGGAGGAGCUGAACAUCAUCCAGGGCGCGCUGGAGCUGCGCACCAAGACCGUGGAGGACGUCCUGACGCCCCUCACGGACUGCUUCAUGCUGGCCUCGGACGAGGUCCUGGACUUCAAUACCAUGUCCGACAUCAUGCAGAGCGGCUACACGCGCAUCCCAGUCUACGAGAACGAGCGCUCCAACAUCGUGGACAUCCUGUUCGUCAAGGACCUGGCCUUCGUGGACCCGGACGACUGCACGCCGCUCAAGACCAUCACGCAGUUCUACAGGCACCCGCUGCACUGCGUGUUCAACGACACCAAGCUGGACGCCAUGCUGGAGGAGUUCAAGAAAGGUAAAUCCCACCUGGCCAUCGUGCAGCGGGUGAACAACGAGGGGGAGGGCGACCCGUUCUACGAGGUGUUGGGCAUCAUCACUCUGGAGGACGUUAUCGAGGAGAUCAUCAAAUCUGAGAUCCUGGAUGAGACGGACCUUUACACUGAUAAUCGAACAAAACGGCGAGUUUCUCACCACGAGCGGAAGCAGCAAGACUUUUCCAUCUUCAAACUGUCAGAAAAUGAGAUGAAGGUGAAGAUUUCUCCUCAGCUCCUCCUGGCGACGCACCGGUUCCUCUCCACAGAGGUGGAGCCCUUCAAACCCGCCCACAUCUCUGAGAAGAUCCUGCUGCGGCUAAUCAAACACCCCAGUGUGGUCCAGGAGCUGAAGUUUGACGAGAAGAACAAACGAGCGCCGCAGCACUUUUUGUUCCAACGCAACAAACCGGUGGACUACUUCACCCUGGUACUGCAGGGUCGGGUGGAGGUGGAGUUUGGAAAGGAGGCGUUGAAGUUUGAGAAUGGAGCUUUCUCUUACUUUGGAGUUCCUGUUCUCAUGCCUUCAGUGAACUGGUCCCCCUCCCGCAGCAGUGGUCUGGACCGCUCUGAGUCCAUGCUGCAUGGAGGAAGUAUGGGUCAGCUGAACGGGGGGGUCAACGUCUACCUGCCAGACUACUCCGUCAGACAGCUGACACACCUGCAGAUCAUCAAGAUCACCCGAAGCCACUACCAGAACGCCCUGACAGCCACCAGGAUGGACACCUCUCCACAAACGCCCGAUGCAGACGCCCGCCUGGCCGAAGACGGCGCCCUGGAGCCUCCGGCCACAGACCGCGCCGCCACGCUCAUGCCCCCCGGGCACGCCACCCUCAUGCCCCCGCCUAGGGACCACUGCAGGCCCAGCUCAGCACGGACCAGAGGACAGCAGUCUAGCGUCCCACACAGCAUGUCCUUCCUUAACGAGAAGAACCGCAUUGUCCGAAGUAAAUCUGACGGACAGAAGAGUCUGAGUGAUUCAGUGUUUCUCAGGAUGGAUGAGAUCCCCUACAUCCGAGAGGACAGAUGUGAGGCUGACCCACAUGCAGACAUGGCCUCUGUUCCCAUGGAGACGGACACGUCGCCUUUCAUCAGCAGCCUGUCGCUGAGUAGCUCAGAGGACACACUGGGCAAGAAACUGCUGCUCAAACUCAUUCCUCACAGCGUCCACAGCAGAUCUCUGGGUUUGAUUCCUGAACAUUUUAUCAAAAUCUUCAGCUUUUAAAAACACAACAAGCUUCACAGUCGUGUGAGAAACAGAAACCGUCUUCUGUCUUCUCCUAACUGAACAUCACAUCCACAUUUACCAGCAGUCAUAAGAAGAGGAAAAAAUCCCACGAUGGGGAAAAGACUCCAGAGGACAUUUCAGAGCAGCCGCUGGUGAAAACCUAGCAGAGCGUGAGCGGCUGACCUCAUCGUCUGAUGGCUCUUUAAGCCUUUUGUAAAGAGGAUGCUGCUGAACGGCAGCUAUCAGAGUUUUAUCUGAAAACAUGCUCUGCACGCCUGCACUGUUCAGACUCUUUACCAGGAUUAAGCUGCACAUGUGGGGGGAGGACAGGUGCAUUAGAGCGCAGCUUCCCGUCUUUACUCUCCUGGAUUUGUUUCUGCUGAUGCUCACAUAUAAAGGGAAUGACUGUAAAUGUGAAAUGUUUGCAUCUGAAAUCGUAGUUUUUCUACUUAAUUCACGUGUCGUCACUGAAGGGGUUGUUUCCAGGGAAGACCAAAGAUGUUUUGUUUAUUCGUCCCCAAAAA